Molecule: non-coding RNA, 135 nt
Organism: Triticum aestivum (bread wheat)
Lineage: Eukaryota; Viridiplantae; Streptophyta; Magnoliopsida; Poales; Poaceae
Source: Rfam
UAUGUACUCCCUCCGUCCGAAAAUACUUGUCAUCAAAAUGGAUAGGAAGGGAUGUAUCUAGAACUAAAAUACGUCUAGAUACAUCCUCUUUUAUUCAUUUUUAUGACAAGUAUUUCCGGACGGAGGGAGUACAUA